Molecule: ribosomal RNA, 124 nt
Filed under: Zingiber officinale
Lineage: Eukaryota; Viridiplantae; Streptophyta; Magnoliopsida; Zingiberales; Zingiberaceae
Source: RNAcentral
GCGAUCAUACCAGCACUAAUGCACCAGAUCCUAUCAGAAUUCCGAAGUUAAGCGUGCUUGGGCGAGAGAAGUACUAGGAUAAGUGACCAGAUGCUCGUGGGGAGGCCUGGAGCAGGUCAAGGUG